UUCCGGUUGAUCCUGCCGGAGNCCAUUGCUAUUGGGAUCCGAUUUAGCCAUGCUAGUCGUACGAGUUCAGACUCGUGGCGAAUAGCUCAGUAACACGUGGCCAAACUACCCUUCGGACCGCAAUACCCUCGGGAAACUGAGGCUAAUAGCGGACACCACACGCAGACUGGAAUGUCGCGUGUGUCAAACGCUCCGGCGCCGAAGGAUGUGGCUGCGGCCGAUUAGGUAGACGGUGGGGUAACGGCCCACCGUGCCAAUAAUCGGUACGGGUCAUGAGAGUGAGAACCCGGAGACGGAAUCUGAGACAAGAUUCCGGGCCCUACGGGGCGCAGCAGGCGCGAAACCUUUACACUGCACGCCAGUGCGAUAAGGGGAUCCCAAGUGCGUAGGCAUAGAGCCUACGCUUUUGUCCACCCUAGGGUGGUGGACGAAUAAGGGCUGGGCAAGACCGGUGCCAGCCGCCGCGGUAAUACCGGCAGCCCGAGUGAUGGCCGAUCUUAUUGGGCCUAAAGCGUCCGUAGCUGGCCGCACAAGUCCAUCGGGAAAUCCACCUGCUCAACAGGUGGGCGUCCGGUGGAAACUGUGUGGCUUGGGACCGGAAGGCGCGACGGGUACGUCUGGGGUAGGAGUGAAAUCCUGUAAUCCUGGACGGACCGCCGAUGGCGAAAGCACGUCGCGAAGACGGAUCCGACAGUGAGGGACGAAAGCUAGGGUCUCGAACCGGAUUAGAUACCCGGGUAGUCCUAGCCGUAAACACUGCCUGCUAGGUGUGGCACCCACUACGAGUGGGUGCUGUGCCGUAGGGAAGCCGCUAAGCAGGCCGCCUGGGAAGUACGUCCGCAAGGAUGAAACUUAAAGGAAUUGGCGGGGGAGCACUACAACCGGAGGAGCCUGCGGUUUAAUUGGAUUCAACGCCGG
Molecule: ribosomal RNA, 918 nt
Filed under: uncultured archaeon
Lineage: Archaea
Description: bacterial SSU rRNA
Rfam family: Archaeal small subunit ribosomal RNA
Source: RNAcentral